CAUUAGCCGCGGAAUACGGAGGGUGCAAGCGUUAAUCGGAAUUACUGGGCGUAAAGCGUGCGUAGGCGGUUCGUUAAGUCUGUUGUGAAAGCCCCGGGCUCAACCUGGGAAUGGCAAUGGAUACUGGCGAGCUAGAGUGUGUCAGAGGAUGGUGGAAUUCCCGGUGUAGCGGUGAAAUGCGUAGAGAUAUGGAGGAACACCAGUGGCGAAGGCGACUUUCUGGUCUGUAACUGACGCUGAGGAGCGAAAGCGUGGGGAGCGAACAGGAUUAGAUACCCCAGUAGUCCCUGUCUCUUAUACA
This 301-nucleotide ribosomal RNA is filed under the name uncultured bacterium. Its description in RNAcentral is "partial 16S ribosomal RNA". It matches the Rfam family "Bacterial small subunit ribosomal RNA", at positions 509 to 808 of the family's 1533-position model. The record is from RNAcentral.